RNAcentral lists this transfer RNA (72 nucleotides) under Camelus bactrianus (Bactrian camel). It matches the Rfam family "tRNA". From Rfam's summary of the family: Transfer RNA (tRNA) molecules are approximately 80 nucleotides in length. Their secondary structure includes four short double-helical elements and three loops (D, anti-codon, and T loops). Lineage: Eukaryota; Metazoa; Chordata; Mammalia; Artiodactyla; Camelidae. RNAcentral also lists the same sequence under 2 other names. The record is from Rfam by way of RNAcentral.
GAAGAUAUAGCUCAGCAGUAGAGCACAUGCUUAGCAUGCACAAGGUCCGGGGUUCAAUCCCCAGUACCUCCA